CCUACGGGGGGCCGCAGUGGGGAAUAUUGGACAAUGGGGGCAACCCUGAUCCAGCCAUGCCGCGUGUGUGAAGAAGGCCCUCGGGUUGUAAAGCACUUUCAGUGAGGAAGAACGCCUGGUGGUUAAUACCCAUCAGGAAAGACAUCACUCACAGAAGAAGCACCGGCUAACUCCGUGCCAGCAGCCGCGGUAAUACGGAGGGUGCGAGCGUUAAUCGGAAUUACUGGGCGUAAAGCGCGCGUAGGUGGCUUGAUAAGCCGGUUGUGAAAGCCCCGGGCUCAACCUGGGAACGGCAUCCGGAACUGUCAAGCUAGAGUGCAGGAGAGGAAGGUAGAAUUCCCGGUGUAGCGGUGAAAUGCGUAGAGAUCGGGAGGAAUACCAGUGGCGAAGGCGGCCUUCUGGACUGACACUGACACUGAGGUGCGAAAGCGUGGGUAGCAAACAGGAUUAGAUACCCUAGUAGUC
This 465-nucleotide ribosomal RNA is filed under the name Vreelandella stevensii. RNAcentral describes it as "partial 16S ribosomal RNA". It matches the Rfam family "Bacterial small subunit ribosomal RNA", at positions 338 to 795 of the family's 1533-position model. Lineage: Bacteria; Pseudomonadati; Pseudomonadota; Gammaproteobacteria; Oceanospirillales; Halomonadaceae. The record is from RNAcentral.